RNAcentral lists this ribosomal RNA (253 nucleotides) under uncultured bacterium. RNAcentral's name for it is "partial 16S ribosomal RNA". It matches the Rfam family "Bacterial small subunit ribosomal RNA", at positions 524 to 776 of the family's 1533-position model. The record is from RNAcentral.
UACGUAGGGUGCAAGCGUUAAUCGGAAUUACUGGGCGUAAAGCGUGCGCAGGCGGUUCUACAAGACAGAUGUGAAAUCCCCGGGCUCAACCUGGGAACUGCAUUUGUGACUGUAGGGCUAGAGUACGGCAGAGGGGGAUGGAAUUCCGCGUGUAGCAGUGAAAUGCGUAGAUAUGCGGAGGAACACCGAUGGCGAAGGCAAUUCCCUGGGCCUGUACUGACGCUCAUGCACGAAAGCGUGGGGAGCAAACAGG